UCAUUAUGAUGAUUUUUUUUAUAACCUGAAUGUCUCUGUUGAUUCAAAAACGAGCUUUUUAAUACUGACUUUU
Molecule: small nucleolar RNA, 73 nt
Organism: Tribolium castaneum (red flour beetle)
Lineage: Eukaryota; Metazoa; Arthropoda; Insecta; Coleoptera; Tenebrionidae
Source: Rfam